UCUGACCUGGUCCCUCGGCGCACGUCUCGGCGUUCUCGUCCCGCUUGUAAAGCGAGGUCCAGCCCAAAAGAGAAGACUUAAAAAGAUAUCCAGCAAUUUGAUUGAUGCAUCGGAACCUAACAAGCUGAGCACUACCACACCGGAUGGAUUACUGUAAGAAAAAAGACUACAUGGGCUUGGAUUUCUCGAAAAAAAUCUUGUCUGACUUUUCUUUCAUUUGAGCAGUCGUUUCGACUUACCUUAUUCUCUCUUUCGAAAAAUCCAAGCCAGUUUAUGCAACAACAAAAAUGGUUUUAAUAGUAAUUUCAAGUUGUUCUUCUGCAUGUCAUAUUUAUACUUUUAAAAUUUGAAUGUGAAAGAUACUUGAAUAUUUACCUCAUAAAUGUAGAAAAAUUCUCAUUACAUUUCCAACAUCACAGUGUCGACUCCCAACAGGGGUAUGGAGAUUGCCCUCUAUUCCCCAAUUUAAAGUGACAAAUUUUGUAGUUCAAGGCAAGUUGUUUUAGAAUGUAAAAACUUCUCAAACAAUUCUUUUUAUCAUAACCCAAACGUAGUAAAACUUUUCAAUCUUAUGCCCAAAACUGAUGUGACGUCAUUAAAAAGCUGCCAUUGGGUCGGUCUUCCGUGACUUAAUAUCUGCACGCAUUUAUUUUUACUUGUGGCCUUGAUAUACAUGUACAUGUAUUUAUCAUUCUGAACAAACGAAGUGAAGUGAGCGGAAUAUAUUUCAGUGGCAUGUAUAAAAUACCAUUCACAUACCCUGUAGUGACUGUAUACGGGGCAGCCCAUCACUCAUUUGACCUUGACAAGAUCCAUUCACUUGAACAUGUAUCUCCCUUGUCCUCGCGUGGUUCCCUAGUGACGUGUACUUACAAAUUAUGUAAUAUCUAACCUGCUAAUAUAUCAAUGUCAAUUUUGAUGAAUUAAGUAAGCGAAAUAAAUGUUUAAAGAAAUGUUAUUUAUUUACUGUUGACGUGUUGGUUAAAAAACCUUUAUUUACUUCCUGAAUUAAUCAUAUACAAUCUUUGCUUGAUUUGAUUUUUUUUUUAAAAUCUACAAUAGCUGAAAUAUCUAUUACGAAUUUCUAAAUGAACGAAAGUCAUUUGUUCAAUUCAGGGAACAUGAGUCACAAUUUUAUGUCCGUUUGACGAUAGACAAACACACCCAGUGUCAACACGCUGCAAGAACACGCCAAAGUGUUGUAUGCAAAGUGAAAGUCUGUCCGGGUGGAAAGUGGGUACGAGAUGUCUACACAAAUAAAAUGCAUUGCGAUAUCUGAUAUCUAUACACAGGAAUUUAAAACACGCAAUAACAAACGAUUUCAUUAUAUUUGAUUAUGGCACGUGGUCACCGUAGUGGAAAUGAUGAACAUAAGAUACGGUCAGCGCCGGAUUCCUCCGGAUAUAAUGGACUCCUGAUUAAGUAUCGGGCGAUACCUGUAUAACAUGCUGCAUGGUAAUAACAAUCAUAUCAACUAUCUCUCGCGUAGCGUACGCAUUCAUUUCAGGUGUGAUUUAUGAAUGAAACAUGUGGGAGUGUUUGCUUUGUGACGAAACAAAACCAAAUAGGACUUGACAGGCGGUAAAUCCAGACGUUAGCUACGGGUUGCGUAAUUUGUCAACACUGUGCUCUCAUUCACCGGAAGUCAUAGGAGGAACUCGCCAGGUACGUGGUAUGGGGGAUUCGGUGGUUCAUUAGAAAUAUAUUGUAUACAAUUUCAUCAUCGUAAUCAUCAUCAUCUGUAUGUUAUGGAUAUUUUGAGUAUUCGUGUGAACGUUGUAACCCAACCCCAAAACAUUGUAAGUUCGCUGUUAUCCCGUGAAAUUUGAGACACUCGUGGUUCUAUUGUUAACAUUUCAAUCCAAAUGAUAACAGUUUUCAUUAAUUUUCUAUUCAUUUUAUUUUAGAUAAUGUAGGAAAGUUUAGUUAUUUUUUUUUAGGAAUUUGAAGUGCAAUUCAGCGGCUGUGUUAAAUUUUAAUUUUUUUUAUAUUAUAUAUCAUUGGUAAAGUAUUUUAUAAAUUGAAAUUUUCAGAAACUAAGGUAUUAAUCAUGUACAGGUUUAUUUGUUAAAAGUUAAGCAUUGCUUGUCCCAUUGUUAGUUUGGAAGUUGCUUUAAUACAGGUAGACAACAUAAAAAAUCCGGGUUUUAUUUGGUUCUGUUUAUUUUUGGAUGAUGUAGACAUAGCAAAUCAUCGUACAACUGUAAGUCAAAAUCUAGAACUAACAUAGUCCUUAUCGGGAUGAAACUCUAAGUGGCAUUUCCUAACGUAAACAUGAAAAAGGUGGAUAUAUAGCUAUCUUGAAUAUUGCGUAUGACACCGGAUGCUUAAUUCUGUAAUAUUAGACAUUCUCUUUAAAAUUUGUUAGCAGUAGAUCCUUUAUACUAUAGUGGUAGCAUGAUAUCGCAGGGCUUCUACAUUGUGACAGGACGCUUAGGAAUGUAGGAUACAUAUAAAAUGUCGGAGUAAUCAUACUGUUCAACAAAUGUGUACACUGUGUGUAAAUUGUAAAUGACAAACAGAAAAAAAAAAUCCUAUUAAUAGUAAGUUGAGUGCCAUGCAUACCAAUUUUCUCACGGAUUGGCAUAAUGAUCAGCUCCCAGAUAUGUACACGAUUCAAAAAAUGAAAUCUUUCAAUAUUAUAUUUUGGCCAAAUAUAGCUGAUAUUGAUAUAGAUUAGAUUGAAUUGCGUAAGUUGUGAACUAAACGUGUUUUAAAUCAUCAGCAACCACAUACGCGUGUGUUAUGUGUACUUUUGUAGAAUAUUUUGACAUUGUAUUAAAUUAUCAAUAUUGUACUUUGAAUUAAGAGUGACAACACAUUUGACAUACAUGUAUAUCCUUCCGUGUUUUAUAUUCUCUGCAUAUUAUCUAAUGCGGAGCUCUAGGUCAAUUGAGCUUGAGGGACCUAUCUGUCUGUUUUCUGCCCUGUCUGUUUACAAUAUCAUAGUAUUUAAAUUGAAUUAAUUAAGGAAGUCUGCUACACCAAAGGAAUUUGAUAUCGAUGUAAAGUGGAGGAUAUGUACAACAAUAUUUUUAAAGUGAAAACUUUCAAAUUUACUUUAUUUAGUAAAAAAAUGCAGUUAUAGUAGAAAGCAAUAUGAAUUAAAUUUAAAACCCCUGCUGGACUCGAACCCGCGAUCUACAGUUCAGCUGUCGAUGACGUGCUUUUUUUCUUUCUAUUUUAUUACAGUCGAUGUGCUAACCUACUUUGCUACUCAGCUAGGCUAUGAUUUUUUAAACGAAUAGACAAAUAUUGCUGAUAUUUAUAUUUUCACUCAUGUUUAAAAAUAGAAGCCGGGCAUUAUGACGAUGUAGAGUACCUCCGUAAAAGUUAGCAAAAAUGAUUUGAGAAAUCAAAUAGAUAUUCUGAAAUUUGUGACCCCGCGUGCACUUUUGAAAAUACAUUGUAUGUAUGCAUCAGGAAAUACCAUGCAGGUAUAUAUAUGCAAGGGCACGUGUAUAGAUAAGUACAUUCUGAUGUCAAUUUUGUUUCGUCCCUUAACUAUAGUACCAAGUCUCAGAAAAUAUGGUACGUUAGAGAGCAGUACGAUUUCUAUAUUAGACACGUGUAUCAUUGUAACAGCUGACGAACCAUAAAAUAUCGAUGAAAUGACAUCUUCUUUAGCGUUUGGUUUGCAUUUUUAAGCAUUGUAACAAAUUUACAGUUCCCCAGUUGUUUCGGACCGUCUUUGCGGUGGAAUCAGGUCGCCAAUAGUUGCGUGUUUACACGGAUUGCAACAAGAUCUAAACCGGAAAGACGGAAAGAAUAUCAGUUUGUCGGAGCACUUGCAAAUUUUUCUUGUGAAAUAUGUGACAAACGUCAGAACAUCGGGUAAAUGAGAGAGAAAAAACGGUUUCUCGUCACACAAUAAUUUGCACAGACUAUCAGAGUGAUCUAUUUUAGUUUGCGUGAUGUGUGAAAGCCCAUUCAAACCGAUCUUUCAUUCGGACUGCGAUAUCGUUAGUGUAUACAUGUAUUUAUUAUUUUCGUGUAGGAAAGGAAAAUCACGUUUUCAUGCAAAUCCUCUGUUUAUGUUUAACUGGGGUUUUUUCAGCAGAGAAUCAACCUGCUAAAAACUAAUAACACAGACACCAAAUAUGUAUAGAUGAAUGCCAAUUCAAAUCAACCACCAAUUGAACAUUGAAAUCUUUAAAUAAUCUCAUAUCAACAAAUAGUGAUGAUAAUGAUGCCUUUCAUUACACCAAAGCAAAACACUGCCGUAGUGUUAUUUUUCUAUAUUAACAUGAUAUGUAGAUGGAAAUUGAUUAAAUAUCAACAUAUCGACAUUACAUAUUGUUAGCUGACCAUAUCUGAAGUUUAGGAAAGUUUUUCGUGGUGUUUUUUUUCUGUAUUGUGAAUUUAAGUUAACUUUGCUUCAACAAUUAUUCAUUUACAUCGACCUUUUUUCUUUCCUUUUUUACAAGGGAUGAUUUCUCCUGUAUUUGAACAGCUCUCUGCUCUUAGUUGCAGACGUGCCGCCCAGCUACCAUUAUCUAAAUUAUAGUAAACGUUAUCCCCGGUUGGCUGUCCUUGUAUUAAACCAUUUACGUAUUCAACAACACAUCUUCCUCUCACGACAUUCAAAUUUAAUCUAAUUAUAAUUUUUCAUUUGUCAGUACAUGUACUUCAAAGCUUAUCGUCUAUAAGAAAUUGAGUUGAACCAAAGCAUUUACUAGUUCUCAUUAUCAUUUUUUACAUAUAUGUAAAGUAUAUUUUGCGAUGAUUAUAUUACCCCCUGCGAAGAAGGUUACUGUACAUUUAUACUUGGUUACAAAAGUUUACCCACAAUUCCACAAAUAUAUAAGAAGGGGUACUGUGGGAUCUGAGGUUGGUUUGCAGUCUCUUAACACUCUUGUUUGAAGAUAAAUACCCCGGCAUGACACUAGAAUUUUAUACAAGUUGUACAAUUGUGGUUUAGCUUUGUUUGUUGGUGUCUUGUAUUACGCGUACGUCCCAUUUAGGAAUUGUUCGCUGCAUGAUAUCGACAUGUCACCUGCUGUAGUUGAAGUGCCACACAUUUUGACUUAUGCAUGUCAUGUAAGGUCGCAAUCUCAGUUUUAAAGGUCAGAUAAGAAAACCCGCGACUUUCACUUUUAAUGGUGGGUACUUGACGAAGGAACAACCAUUAUGUUAAACGUCUUAGGGUUGGCGCGGCACCGGGACAGAGAAUCGAACCCAAGACCUAAACUAAGGGGUUCUGUUUCACCUUGUGUUUGUACGAAACGAACGCCAUCACAAGAAGGAUACUGCGACUGGUAUGAGUUCAAUAAUCUCUUUGUUGACACAUUUCCUCUCUUCUAAUUCCCCCGAGGUAAUCCUUUCAUUGUGUGUUUUGCUUAAGAGUCCUUACAGAGACUUACAUCUGUAUGUAUCUUGUAUUGCGGUUCACGUACACUUAACUACCCCCCUUUGACACAGCAUUGGUCAAGCCACUGUCUACCGUAUUUCUGAUUCCAGAUUUCAUUGUUGUAUUUCCCAAUAUCUUCACUUUUGCAUGCGGUAUUACAAAACGUAACCCCUUCUCCUAAAAUUGUCAAAUUUCAAGGCUAUAACUCGGUCAAGAACGCCCACGAUAUGUAUUUCCCCUUCUCAUCCUCACGUAAAUAUCUGAUGUCACAUGUUAUAAAGAUCCUAAUUAAUCUUUUUACCUUCUCUUUUAUAUAUUGACUUAAUUUUUCUGAUAAUUACAGAAGAAAACUCGAACGUGUAGCGUCAUUAAUAUUAGCUUAAUUUAUCUUUUCUUUUCUUUUUAUCGACCUGGGUUAAAAUUCCAGCGAUCGAUUAGAAGGUCCUAGGUAUUUUGCCAGCUUGUGACAAUCAUCCAAUGUGGGUGUGCUGGCAUUAUCAGAUCAUGAGAUUUGUCAUUCAAGAUAGAAAUCAUAAAAAGGUAAUAAUAGAACCGUGAUUGGUUCUCUUAGUAAGAUAACACAUGGAUUGUGUCAAUUACCGUAACAGAUUGGACGGGGGUGUUUUUUCAAACUUUUGAAAUUGAUAUAUUCAGAGUGGACAGUCGCCAUGAUCUCUGUCCUUUAGUUUAUACGACUAUAGAACAGAGUUCAGUGCUAUGAGAAACUGAAGGGUUCUGUUUCACCUUGUGUUCGUACUCUAACGAUAUGCUUCCCCUGUUCAAUAUUUGAGCAGUUCCAAGUUCGAUCGAUCUAGCGAAUGAUUCUUUUGAGUGAAAAUAAUCGUUUGGGGAUGUCAAAGAAUUCGAUCCGUUGUAAAAGUAAGUUUUAUAUAAUUUUUUAUCUAUCUUCUUUUGGGUUUAGAUUUUUUUGUAAUUUCAUAAAUUUUGCAUUUAUUCUUGAUUAUCAGAACUUCAUAUUAAAUGCGUAUGUUUACAUGGCUACACGCAAAUAUCAUGGCAGAGAGAGAGAGAGAGAGAGAGAGAGAGAGAGAGAGAGAGAGAGAGAGAGAGAGAGAGAGAGUUCUUCUAUUUCAAGAAUCCCGAUCUCACAGAAAUAUAAUUAAUAUCGACUUUGAUUUGAUCUUUUUCUCGUGAAAAUAAAUUUGUUAGUCAAAUUGCAAUGCAUUCAGCGAUUUGACAUUCGUAAAUCAUAUCUAAGUGUGCUGCCCACGUGGUGUUUUAUUAUAUAUAAUUUAGACAGCGAUACAAACACCAAUCCCCUUGAUUAUAUAUAACUUCUCUGAGGAAAACAUUGCAAUUAAGUAUUAAAUGAUACCGAGAUGGGAAGAACCUUCCUUCAAUUUCACGUAUGUCCGACAUAAACGGUUUUUAUAGCGUUUGUUACAUGCAACAACAGAAUAAACUGUAUUGAAAUAAUCUUUUCGUAUUCAUGGAUUUCAAACGUUUUAAGAUUUGUUAUAAAACCUUUGAUCAAUAUUCAAAGUAUAGGGAAUAGAGAAAUUAAAUCAGAAACAGUUUAUACAUGUACCACAUGGGGAGGUUAUUUACAUCCGAUUUGCUGAAGGCGAAACGCACUCAUUCUUCCGGCUAUCUCUAAUUAAAAAAAUUGCUAACAGUUUGUUAAUUCAUUUUUGUUUGUAGCAAGCUUGUUGAAAGAGAGCCAGCAAAACUUGCAGUGAAAUCAGUUAAGUUAUAUUCUUUGUCGAUGAAGCAGAUCCGACAACAGUGAAAUCGUUUUUUAGCUUUUAAUUGGGAAUCCAUAACGUUAAUACGUUUUCAUCGCUGUAACAAGCUUCGAAAUGCCAAUUUUAAUAAGAACUUUAGAAAAAUCAGGAAAAGUAAACAGUUGUUAUAACAGAGCUUUUUUAGAUCCGUGUUACUCGAUGCCAUAAAACAAAUUUUAACCACAAAACCGGCUUUCGUCUUCUUUUUUUAUUUAUUGUCAAGUGAAUCCUAAUGCAUCUAAAAGGCUAUAAAAAUCUUUACAAUAAAGUGCUUUACACCGCGUGUCGUAUCAGUUGUAAAUAUUACCAUACACAUGUACAUGUAUCGUGUAUUGUAUCAGCUAAAUUGAUUAUGGACGAAUUCUGAGCAAUGAUGCCCAGAUGUUGAUAACUUCCGUUUUUUGUAAAUGUUGUGUAUCAGUUUCAUAUGAAAGAGGACCCAAAGGAUUGCCACUUUCCGUGUUUGUAUCUUGCACUGCCGCUCGUAUGAUUUAAUAUCAAUAAGAAAACUAACACUGAUCAAUGUAUAUACAGUAUGUAAUGAAUGAAUGAAUGAUAACAACUGUUGCAAGGACAUGAGAUCGGAGCUGUUAUUUGCUGUAAAACAGGGGCGAGGGUACCUUAGAAUUCAAUAAAGUUGUCAGUUGUUUAGUCUUUAGAACAAAAAAUAGAAUGCGUGUGUGCUUUAUAACGAUAACAGUUUCUUAUAAAAUAUUAUCAAAACCAUCAACUAUAGCGUACACAACGUUGUGAUAUUAUAAAAAUCUUGAUUUUUAUGCGUCAAUCUUGAUUUAUAUUUGAUAGUCUUGUUAUUUAUGUGCGAAAAUAUUGAUUUAUAUUCGAUAAUCGUGUUAUUUAUAUUCAUAAAUCUUGAUAUAUAUUCGAUAAUCUUGUUAUUCAUAUAACACGAUUGUUGAAUUUAAAUCAAGAUUUUUGCAAUGAAUAACAAGACAAUCGAAUAUAAAUGAAGAUUUAUUGAACAUAUUAAUUAAGACUUAUCGAAUAUAAAUCAAUAUUUAUUGAAUAUACAUCAAGAUUUAUCGAACAUACAUCGAGAAUUCAAGAUUUAUCACAUUUAUAUUGUAAGUCAAGAUUAUCGAAUAUAAAUCAAGAUUUUUACGUAUGAAUAACAGGUUAUCGAAUAUAAGUCAAGAUUUUCGCGUUUAUAUAUCAAGAUUAUCGAAUAUAAAUCAAGAUUUUCGCAAAUAAAUCAAGAUUUUCGCAUAUACUGUAAAUCAAGAUUUGUAUAAAAUUGCACAUUUUACAAGCCAUAAUCCGUGUGUAGGCAUAAAUGUACAGGUGACACUUGUUAAACGUGACCACAUGUGCUGAUUUGAAUGUUUUGUCUUUCCUAUUUCUUGGAUUUCAAACGAAACAAAUAGAAUUAGAGAAUUUUACGCAAACGCUUCAGAAUCAAGGUCACGUUUUCAAGGUGACUACAGCGGGGUUCAUUAUUCUACGUGUACCACAUGGUCAUUUAGACAGUCAAAAUCACUGCAAAAAAUCGCAAAAUUAUUGGCUGUACAAGUUCAUGUCGUUGGGAUCAAAAUGAACGGGAUGUGUAAAAUUUUAAGAUGUUCUCUAUUUAUCAACGAUACAAGCGUAACCUUACAAUGCAGUACACUACGGUUCAUACUGUCAAUUGUUUGUGAGGCAUGCAGAGAAGAAAAAUAGGAGACUAAUUUAUGAGACUAACUUUAUGGAGAAUGAAUAUGAGGGCGUUGGGGGUGGGGGGGGGGGUGCCGUAUUAAAGAACAGACUUAGUGAAGAUCUAGAGUGUCUUGUAUUUCCUAGUUUGUCAUUAGCUCACCUGAGCGUCUGUGUACUGGUCGGUCGCUAAUAUCAGUUGUCGUCAUCAGCGGCAACAUCGUCGCGUUAACCUUUCACAUAAUUAACUUCUCAGAAAGUUCUGGGCCAAUUUCGAACGUGGCACAACACAUCCUCGACUGGAAGGAGUUGAUGCUUUCUAUGUAGACUAGAGCUGGUUUUUAUUCGCUGUAUUCCCCUAGGUUUACUGGUCUAGAGCUGCAUUGCUCCGUAUAAAGGUGUCGCAUGGUCGCGUACUAUUUCCUUACACGGAAUUCCCAUCUGACUAUAUAAAGUUCUGCCUACGUAUUGUCAUUUUAUAUAUGUAUAUUUCCGUAUGUCUAUUUCUAUAGAUUUCCCUGCGCGAUGAAACGACAGAGUUAUGCCGAGACACUUGAACGCUACAUUAACGGGUUGAUGUGUUCAAACGGCACACUGAGUUGUUGGGAAAUAAGUUUGUGUAGACUCUGGUGAAUACUUUAUACGGGGAAUUAUUGACAGGAAAAUAAAUUUGAGAAGGAAUAAAGUACAUCACAAAUCCCUCGUCUCUUUAAAUAUUUUAUAUUUUUGGUGAGAUAAUUAAGUGGAUGAAACCGUUGGGCUGUAAAUCUGCAGAUCGGAGUUCGAAUUUGUAGAGGUGUGAAAAUUUUGUCGUUGAUAAUUGUACAAUCAAAUUGUAUUUUUUCGUUGUCUAACGUGAAAUUUAAAUUGUUCAUUACUUUGCGAUAAAAGCACAUACAAUUAUUAUGAUACUUCAAACACACACCAUACCAAUAUUAUUAUAUUUUACGUCCGUUAAAAGCGUGUUUAUUCCUCCCAAGUAAAGGUUGGUUAAAAUGCAAACUGCUAAUUUAAAAAAAAAAAAUGCUUAAAGGGUCUAUGCAAUUUUUAUAUAAUACAAGUGAUUAUUAAAAUUAUGUCAGUGCUAGUAAAUUAAUUUGAAAAAUGUAAUUUCGGGGGGAAAUAUUGAAAUCACUCACUCCUGGAUUGGAACCCGCGGAGUUAAAGAAUUAUGCGCUUGACAGUUCCUCUUCCGCCACAAUGUUAGCCUGAAGAAAGAUACUUAAUACAGAAAAUAAUAAUAAAACUUACAGUUCCUAUUUUCAAAAGAACGAAACAAAUGUUUUGAUCAAAAUUAUUCAAUUAAAGAGGAGUAAUAAAAACGCAAUCCGAUGGGGUAAUGGUUUAAAAAAAAAAUGAAUUAAAUUUCUUGUAAAUUUUCCCCCUCGUUCAAAUGCUCAAAAUCGAGAAAUUAGCUUGAUAUUUUAAUAUAAUUGAAAUUUUUUUAAUUACAUACCGGUACUGUACAUUUAAUUAUUUGAUUUAUUCACAUUGUAUUAUUCGAAGACAGACGUUAUUUCAGUAGGGCUUCAUUUUCAAUUUCGGACGUGCAACACUCCGGGGAAAUGACAACACCCCCUUUCUUCAUGGGAGGAUGAUGUCAAAUUAACAAAAUCCUGUAAUUAUUAUAUAGACACGUAGAAUGACAAGACACCCCCUCUCUGGUUUCACAGUUGUCAUUAUUUGUAAUACUGAUCCCAAGAGGCGGCCAUACAUCAUAGAGGAUAGCGAAUUGCCUAAUUGCCAAAGUCUUCCAAUCAGGGAUUUUGUACAGUAUUUUGCUAUAUAUGGAGUUAUCGAUGAAUCAUCCUUCUUUUUGACAACCUGCACAUUGCAACACACCAGAGUCCCCCAUUCUGUGACUGGACUAAUAUCGAUUGGGACUCUCGUGAUAAUAUACAAAAGUCUUCAUAUCGCAGUAAAUCCUAGGCUUAUUACGUGUACUGAUCGCUGUCACCUAGAGUCUCGUGGUUAGAAGGCCGGAUAAUUAAAGGCAUAAUAGUUGUAAAGUAAUUCUAUACGGAAGGACAAUGUUCUUAGUGCUUAUAUAAAUUAGUGUAAUUGGGAUAGACAGAUGUGGAAUAAUGUUCAAAGACUAUUGAAUGGUUGACCACUAGCAUGGAAAACGUUUCAACAAAUGGAACAACGAUUUCGGAAGAGGAAUUUCGCCGGAGAAUUUCAACUGAGAUCUUCAGUCGCCAUCUUAUCCCAUCCUUAGUUUACGUGAUAGUGCUUUUCUUAAUUGGAGUCCCCGGAAACUGCCUAGUGUGUCACGUGUACACCAAAAAAUGGCGGAGAAGACGAAAACCGUCGACCCUUUUCGUGCUAGCUCUUUCGUGGUUUGAUUUACUGAACAAUUUAGUGUCCUUGCCGACUGAAAUAUAUCUUCUGACCAACUACAUGUCAUUUGAUUCUCCAUUUUUAUGCAAAUCCUCAAGAUUUGUGACAUUCUUCAUGAAUGCGGCUUCCUCCGUUGUUCUUGUUGGGAUUGCAAUUGACAGAUUUAGAGGAAUAUGGUGUUCGUUUAAAACCAAACCAUUCAGUGUAUCGAGAGCCAAGUUUAUCGUCAUUCUCUCAGUGAUCGUCGCAGCAGUCACGUGUUGGCCCAGUGUUCUUCUGUACGGAACCCACACCAUUCAAUCAAAUCAGCAUUUUCUAAAAUCUUGCCUUAUUGAUGAUGAUUUCAGUGACAGUAAAAAUAACAUUUAUCCUUUCAUAUAUGGAAUGUAUUUAUUAGGGUCUAACGUGGUCGUGGACAUAACUUUCAUUGUGUUAUAUUCCUUGAUAGGUAUACGAAUAUACCGUCGACGUCAAUUUGGUAGUCUGAGUCCAAAGAGGAGUUGGAGUACAGUGGUGACUUUCAAAAGGCGACCCAGUCUAUGUUCUUUCUCUAGCACAACCAACAUGGAGGAAGACAGCAUUCCAUUGAAUGCUGGGAAGGGUAGCAAAUUUUGCGCUAGAUUAGUGCGCCAGGAAAGUUUUACAAGUAACAAAUCGUACAACAAUCUUAGAUAUAAGUACAAUAUGAAUCGCUCAGUGGACUCUCUGCCCGCCAAAGUGAAUGGAUUAAAGUCCGAAAACUCUUGUCGAACUCUAUCGAGAAUAAGUGAAAUGCAAAACAUGACACUGGAUCAUGAAUACCGAAAACGGUCUGCGAGUUUACCCGAAUGCAAUGUUUUACAUGUUGGUUUGACUGAUGGUAAAAAGUCUCCCAAAAGCACUUUGUUGAAAGGAAAAAGUUUAUCCAGACAGGCAUCCUUUAUAUCUUCGCAGACUCUCCCUAGCGAUGUCUGUCGGUAUGGUCGGACUUAUCACACAGGGAGAACUACUUUUAUGUUGUUUGUUGUGACGCUGGCGUAUGUUUUAACUUUCGUACCCUACUGUGUGAUAGUUGUAAUACGUUACUCAGACGAUGGGUUUUACAACAGACAAAAUGACUUACAAAAGAAUUUCUAUCAGAUAUUCCUACGAUCCUAUCUUCUAUCUAGCGCUAUCAAUCCACUCAUAUAUAGCUUCACUAGUCAAGCAUUUCGUAAAGAGUGCGCAGCUCUCUCAAAAAAGUUGUUUUGUAAACUUAGGGCCAUGAAUGUGUGAACUAUUUAUUGUUGAACGACAAUUUAUGUCGUGUUAUUAUUUUUCAAGUAUGUUUCUCCCAUCAAAGCUAUGUGUUUUAAUUGUGGAUCAUGUUUAACAUGUAGACAGGCGACUGUGAUUAACUGCGGGCCUGCGAUUUCAAAUAAUAAAUUUCUGUAUUUGUUA
This is an RNA transcript of Ostrea edulis (European flat oyster), 12501 nucleotides long. RefSeq lists it as uncharacterized. NCBI's taxonomy places the organism in Eukaryota, Metazoa, Mollusca, Bivalvia, Ostreida, Ostreidae. The transcript has 3 exons. The record is from RefSeq and is a predicted model, not a curated record.